CCGACUUGAAUGAAGAAACUCCUGCUCAUGGAAAGUUACGACAAAAGAAAAAGCUUAAAACAGCAAAUUUUACCCCUGAAAAUUUCUUGUUAACUAAUGCUGCAUCAUCUACCACAAGAUUAUCUAAACACAACUAGUUAGGGAAAAUGUUUUAGUUCAAUUAAGUUGAUAAUGGUAAAUUUUUCAUGACCAUUGCUACUACAAAGAACAAAAUCAGUUGAAGGCAUAAAACACAUGCAGGAAGUUACUAAUCAAAAUAUAGUAAGUUUCUAAGAAUUUUGGUUUUGGAUAGAUGAUAUCCAACUUUUGUUCAAAUCUAAAGAAAUUUUGAUCAAAUUCCUGGAGAAUUUAAGUUUUUUUCAGUGUACAUUGUAGAAGACUAUUUUAGCUUCAUUAGCAGUCUCUCAUGUUAUUCAGUUCUUUACUUUCAAUCCUCCAUUUUUAACGUCUCUUUCCAUAGAACCUUCACACAUUUGAACCUUUAUCAAUGG
RNAcentral lists this unclassified non-coding RNA (491 nucleotides) under Hevea brasiliensis (rubber tree). The record is from RNAcentral. Lineage: Eukaryota; Viridiplantae; Streptophyta; Magnoliopsida; Malpighiales; Euphorbiaceae.